Molecule: ribosomal RNA, 403 nt
Filed under: uncultured bacterium
Lineage: Bacteria
Description: bacterial SSU rRNA
Rfam family: Bacterial small subunit ribosomal RNA
Source: RNAcentral
CUAGGCUUGACAUCCACGGGAAAGCUUUGAGAAACCAGAGCCCCUCUUCGGAGUCCGUGGACAGGUGCUGCAUGGCUGUCGUCAGCUCGUGUCGUGUGAUGUUGGGUUAAGUCCCGCAACGAGCGCAACCCCCGUUCCCAGUUGCCAGCGAGUAAAGUCGGGGACUCUGGGAAGACUGCCGGUGCCAAACCGGAGGAAGGUGGGGACGACGUCAAGUCAUCAUGGUCCUUACGUCUAGGGCUACACACGUGCUACAAUGGCCGGUACAGUGGGUUGCGAGCUAGCGAUAGCAAGCCAAUCCCUUAAAGCCGGCCUCAGUGCGGAUUGGAGGCUGCAACUCGCCUCCAUGAAGCUGGAAUCGCUAGUAAUCGUGGAUCAGCUACGCCACGGUGAAUACGUUCCC